AAUGUGAAUCACACAUUCAAAAAACUGUGAAAGAAGCCCACUUAGUAAGCCUUGGCCUGAGCAUUGCUUUCAGUGGAUGGAAAGAAAGGUUGAGAAGCAACCACGACGAGAAGUUGAACCUUUUAUACGUGAGUGGACGAGAUGGCAUGCAGAGAUAUUCAUCUGCUUGUUCUCGCUUAAAUGGGAAAAACGAGCAAGAGGAAAGGAGAUAAGUAGAUGAUGAUGGAGAGGGAGAAGAAUAUACAAAAGGAGAUUAACUUGGUUCGACCACACAAAGCCUACAUCCGCAGGAAGAAAAUUUUUUGAAGAAAAAUCACAGAUGAGUACAGUAUAUGGUUUCUGUUUUAGCCUCUCUAUUUAAAAAAAAAAAAAUUACUGAGAGCUCUCUUUUAUAGCUAAGGGAGAUCAGUUUAAAUUAGUCAGGAAUAACAUAAAACUGAUAUAAAAAAAUAAAGAGUCGUUGGAUUUAGAUCUUCAAAUCUCCAACCUAAAUCCAACACUAUGAUUUCUUCAAGUAUCUUCCGAUUCUUACUGACUUCAUCCUUUUUCAGGUAAAUAGAAGCCUAUAAGCUCGAAGUACUUGUGGAGUUUAAGCUUCGACACUGGCUUGGUGAGCAUGUCGGCUGGAUUCUCAAAGUCAUCGUUUCUGGGAGCUUUGAUGGAUUCAAAUGGGCCUUGAGAGCCUUUUGCUGACCAAGCAAGCCUCUGAUUUUGUCUUCCACAAGGCAAAUUCACCCUUACCAUUGAACUUUUCAAUCUCCACUUUAGCUACUGCCAUCUCGAGAUAUAUCACAGAAGCUUCAGCUGAAAGAUUCCCAUGCAAAUUGACUAAAUUUGCUAGAAAUUCUAGAGGUUGAAGAAGUCUUCAACCUCGGUAAACCAGUGUCCUUUCCAUUUUUUCCUAAUUUAAGCUUGUUUUGAGUCCCACAACUCAAUCUAAGGCUCCAAGAGAAUGGUAAGGAAGACCUUGUGGUGGUUUACAGCCAAAGGAAAAGGAGAUUGCAGUUGAAGAUCAAUAUUCAAGAGAUUCUUCAAAGGUAUGUGUUGAAACACUCUUAAUUCUCUAUGAACAUGCUUAUUUUGAUGUCAAAAUUAAGGAAUUAGAAUGUUUAAUAAUCCUACUUUCUUCCGUUGCAUGUUUCUAUAUUCCAACAAAUCACACGUCCAAGAAAGUGCAGAAGAAACCCACUUAGUAAGCCUUGGCCUGAGCAUUGCUUUUAGUAGGUGGAAAGAAAGGCUAAGAAGUAGCCACGACGAGAAGCUAAGCCUUUGACACGUGGGUGAAUGAGAUGGCAUGCAGAGAUCUUCAUUUGCUUGUUUUCACUCGAAUAGGAAAAAUGAGCAAGAGGAAAUGAGAGAAGUAGAUGAUCAUCGAAAGGAAGAAAAAGAUACACAGGGGAGUUUACAUGGUUCGGCCACACAAAGCCUACAUCCACGGGAAGAAUGUUUCUCGAAAAAAAAAUCACAAUAAGUACACUAUAUGAUUUCUGUUUUAGCCUCUCUAUUUGAAAAAAAUACUGAGAGCUCUCUUUUAAUAUCUAAGAGAGAUCAGUUUACAUGUAGCUAGGAAUAACAUAAAACUGAUAUUUAAAAAAAAAAAAAAAAAAAAAGGAGCCGUUGGAUUUAGAUCUUUUAUAUAUAUAUAUAUAUAUAUAUAUAUAUUAUUUUAUAUAAUAUUAAAUGUUAGGCAAUACAGUACUUUUUUUAUAUCAAAUCCUAUUGAUUUGAAAUUAGGAAAUUUUUCGUUUUGUGAAUCUCUAAUUCACAAAUACUAUCCAAAAAAUAAAUUUCAAUUUCAAUCCAAGGAGAAGAAUAUUAUAUAUAGAUUACUACCUUGAUGAUCUUAGAGCAUGAAAAGAGAACUAAUUCCUCACUCAAGAUUUGGACAUACUCCACAGCGAUGUUUGAUUAAUUUGGCUUGAAUGUUCGAACAUCUCAUCUGGUUGUAAAUGGCAAGACCCUCAGAUGAAUAGCAAACGGUCAAGGUAUGGCGAUCAAGCAAAGAAUAAAACCUACAAAACAGAAACUAGUUAUAGGCUGAGUCACGGAGCUCGCUCUCUUUAAGACGUUUCACGGCUCUGUCCAAGUGUGCAAGCAAGUCAGGAAUACUGUCACGCCAUCUCAGGAUAAAACAACUUAAAAGAAAACACAAUAAAAAAUGCAUCGUUACCAAUCGGAACACACACCCUUUCUAACUCACUGCUCGAAAAACAAAGAAUGGAAGAGUAGGAGAGGAGAGAAGAACGUUCGAAUUGAAGCUGUGUUCUGUAAAUGACCUACUGAAGGUCGUGACUUUUAUAGGCCUUCAGCGUGGAACUGUCGAGUGAGAAAGAGGCGGAGAACCUCAGUGAGGGGCCGUGCGGAAGAACACGCCUCGUCUCCUUCCUUUUCUCUUUUUUCCCGAUUUUAAAACACAAUAAUAAAAGAUUAAAAUAAUGAAUAAAAAUAAUAAUAUUUCUUUGUAACGGUGAGACCAAAAGGAAGGUGGUGGCCACGUGUGGGAUAUCCACCGAAUCCACAUUGGUCUAUCUCUUCACUCCUUCCAAAACAUGGGUACCCCUUAGAGCAACACCGUGGAGAGGGAUGCAGCACUGUAAGAACUUUGCUGCCACAUGAAAUUAGUACAACAUCACAGCGUUGUAAAAUGGCGUUGCACCGCCAGUGUGGCUUUAUAGAAAGUUUUGUGUUUUGGAAAUGUUUUGUCUAUUUACUUUAAAGAGUGUUUUGUUACAUGAAAAAAAAUGUGCGAGAGUGGGGGAUUUUCUUGGAGGCUGUUCGUUGAUUUCGAGGUGAAAAUCAAGGAAUUCCCGAUUAUUUCCAUCGACGAAAUUCACGACUAUAUUAGUGUUUCCCUA
Benincasa hispida (wax gourd) is the source of this 2855-nucleotide non-coding RNA. NCBI's taxonomy places the organism in Eukaryota, Viridiplantae, Streptophyta, Magnoliopsida, Cucurbitales, Cucurbitaceae. The record is from RefSeq and is a predicted model, not a curated record.